Unclassified non-coding RNA from Macaca mulatta (Rhesus monkey), 117 nucleotides. It matches the Rfam family "Metazoan signal recognition particle RNA". From Rfam's summary of the family: The signal recognition particle (SRP) is a universally conserved ribonucleoprotein. The record is from Ensembl. NCBI's taxonomy places the organism in Eukaryota, Metazoa, Chordata, Mammalia, Primates, Cercopithecidae.
GCUGGGUGUGGUGGCUUGCGCCUGUAAUCCCAGCACUUUGGGAGGCUGAGGCGGGGGGAUCACCUGAGGUCAGGAGUUCAAGACCAGCCUGACCAACAUGGUGAAACCCCAUCUCUA